RNAcentral lists this ribosomal RNA (650 nucleotides) under uncultured bacterium. RNAcentral describes it as "bacterial SSU rRNA". It matches the Rfam family "Bacterial small subunit ribosomal RNA", at positions 842 to 1500 of the family's 1533-position model. The record is from RNAcentral.
AGUGUCGCAGGGAAACCGAUAAACACACCGCCUGGGGAGUACGACCGCAAGGUUAAAACUCAAAUGAAUUGACGGGGACCCGCACAAGUAGUGGAGCAUGUGGUUUAAUUCGAAGAUACGCGCAGAACCUUACCAACACUUGACAUGUUCGUCGCGACUCUAAGAGAUUAGAGUUUUCGGUUCGGCCGGACGAAACACAGGUGCUGCAUGGCUGUCGUCAGCUCGUGUCGUGAGAUGUUGGGUUAAGUCCCGCAACGAGCGCAACCCUCACUUUUAGUUGCCAUCAUUAAGUUGGGCACUCCGAAAGAACUGCCAGUGAUAAGCUGGAGGAAGGUGGGGAUGACGUCAAGUCCUCAUGGCCCUUACGUGUUGGGCUACACACGUGCUACAAUGGCAUCUACAACAGGAAGCAAAACGGCAACGUUAAGCAAAUCCCGAAAAGAUGCCUCAGUUCGGAUUGCACUCUGCAACUCGAGUGCAUGAAGCUGGAAUUACUAGUAAUCGUGGAUCAGCGUGCCACGGUGAAUGCGUUCCCGGGUCUUGUACACACCGCCCGUCACACCAUGGGAGUUGGUUCUACCUUAAGGCAAGGUUUUAAACCCUUGACCACGGUAUAGUCAGCGACUGGGGUGAAGUCGUAACAAGGUACC